RNAcentral lists this ribosomal RNA (251 nucleotides) under uncultured Glomus. Its description in RNAcentral is "partial 18S ribosomal RNA". Lineage: Eukaryota; Fungi; Glomeromycota; Glomeromycetes; Glomerales; Glomeraceae. The record is from RNAcentral.
CCCAACUAUCCCUAUUAAUCAUUACGUCAAUCCUAGAAACCAACAAAAUAGGAUCAAACGUCCUAUUUCAUUAUUCCAUGCUAAUGUAUUCAAGCGCUUGCCUGCUUUAAACACUCUAAUUUUUUCAAAGUAACAGUCCUGAUUCCCCGCAACACCAAAUUAAUGGCAUUACGGCUCAUCAAGAGGGAGGAAUCAGCAAGGCCAGUGCAUACCAUUGGCACGACCGACCUGCUGAUCCCGAAAUUCAACUA